Molecule: RNA transcript, 2978 nt
Organism: Homo sapiens (human)
Lineage: Eukaryota; Metazoa; Chordata; Mammalia; Primates; Hominidae
Gene: SNAPC5
Gene name: small nuclear RNA activating complex polypeptide 5
Exons: 4
Source: RefSeq, marked reviewed
AGCCCGGAGGUUGGCUAUGUGACCAGGCAACAUGCUGAGCCGGCUUCAGGAACUGCGCAAGGAGGAGGAGACGCUGCUGCGGUUGAAGGCAGCCCUGCACGACCAGCUGAACCGCCUCAAGGUUGAAGAAUUAGCCCUCCAAUCAAUGAUCAGUUCUAGAAGAGGGGAUGAGAUGCUGUCUUCUCACACUGUACCUGAACAGUCACAUGAUAUGUUGGUGCAUGUAGACAAUGAAGCAUCAAUCAACCAAACAACCCUGGAGCUGAGCACAAAGAGUCAUGUGACGGAAGAGGAGGAGGAGGAAGAGGAAGAAGAAUCAGAUUCCUAAAGGAGGGGGAAAGCCAGGCUGGUCAGUUAUACAAAUUGCAUUUCUAAGGCUCAGGCUACUUCUCCUCAAGGAAAUCAUCUUGCCCUGGGCCCUGUGAUCUGCUUGAAAGGAAAGCAAGAACUAUAAGGAGGAUGUGUAGUUGCAAAAAUGGCUCCAUCGGUAACUCAAGCUUCAGAAUGUUAUGACAUACAGAAAAUCAAAGAUGCUGUGUCUUAGCAUUGAGUAAUAUGGGUGGUGCUGUCUGUAAUCUGGUCAGAUUCAGUUAACUGUUCAGAACAAAAUUUCCUCUGAAAUACUGUUGAGAAAGUCUGUCAUUUGCAAAAAGAGCAGAGUUUAAAUACAAGCCAGUCUUUCCAGUCAACAAUGCCUCUUUGAAGAAAACCAAUUAAAGACUGUUUGCAUGCCGCUGAACCCUUGUGAGCAGUUAGGACACAGUCUAGGACAGAAAGAUGACAAGGGGAAGGACUGAGGGCCGUCUGAGAGCACAAGCUGUUUCUACCUCUCAGAGGCAUUGAAAUAUUGCAUGCUAUAAACUGCUUUGUGUAUCUGUUACCACCUCUCACUUGAGACAUCACUCACUGGUAAAAUGUUUUAUAAAUAAAUUUAUAAGUAGCCAUCAUGGAGCCUGCUGGUUUCUAGAUAGCGACAGAGAGAAGCAGCAGUUCCUUCUCUGAGGAAAAGAUACAACAGGAUGGUUUGAAAUCCAUUUCUGGUCCUUAAGAGAGAUGUGCCAUGCUUGGAAGACUGGAUUUUUUGUUUUGUUUUUUGUUUUGUUUUGUUUGAGACGGAGUUUCACUCUUAUUGCCCAGGCUGGAGUGCAAUGGCGCGAUUUUGGCUCACUGCAACCUCCCCUUCUCGGGUUCAAGUGAUUCUUCUGCCUCAGCCUCCAGAGUAGCUAGGAUUACAGGCAUGCACCACCACACCCGGCUAAUUUUGUAUUUUUAGUAAAGAUGGGAUUUUUCCAUGUUGGUCAGGCUGCUCUCGAACUCCCAACCUCAGGUUUUCCUCCCGCCUCGACCUCCCAAAGUGCUGGGAUUACACACGUGAGCCACUACACCAGGCCGGAAGACUGGAUUUUUGUUAACAGAUGACAGUUACAGAAUAAGAGUUUUUACUUAGUAUCUGAAGUUGAGGUUCAUUUCUGCAUACUGUCCCUUUUCCACUGACUACCAUGAAAUAAGUAGUUGCUUAAUUUUAUAAAAUUAAUUUCCCCUGCCCAAGCAACAGUAAAAGCCAAACAAAACACAAAGAAUCAUGUCAAGCAGAACUUAUGUAACAGUUCCCAAAGAAAACAAAGAAUACUUUUUUUGUUAAUCCACAUUUCAUUGAAGUUAUUUUGAGCUGCUUUUAGAGGAAACAGCCAGAAGUUUAAAUGAGCAUGUUCCUUAGAACACACAAUGGGAAGACAGUUUGGGAACAAAAAGCAUCAAGGUACAUAAAUUUUGGGGGUCUAAUUUAAAAUAUGAGCAUGAGUUUUAAAAGCUGGAAAACUUGACUAUGAAUUCCAGCUCUACCACAAACUGGUCACUUGUCUUCUCACCUCUUUGCAACUCACGUUCCCAUCUGUAAGGUGAAGAUACUCACAUCUGCUCUAGCAGUUUCACAGGUUGCUAUGAGGUGCUAAUGAGAUCAUUUAAAAAUCCAACUAUCAUUGGUAUCUCAGUAAGAAUCUGGCAUUGGGAGCUCAAAACACUGCAAGAUUCAUGCGGGGAUCAUAAUUCUUGGCUAAAAAUUAAAAAAAAAAAAUCUAAACACCCCUCAAAAGACACUGAGCAUGAAAGUGGUCAGAUCUAGGUUUUAGAUACCAGGUUAUAACAUUUCUUCUAAGGAUGUAGUAUUCUCAUUUUAAUGAAACAUUCUCAGUAGUGGUGGUAUCCUGUCAUUUGUAAAAGACACACAGUGUAAAUGUUAAAACCCAGCCUAAAUGUUUAUAUGUUGAAAAUGUAUAAGUUAAACUGUUGACUUAGAAAAGCUAUACUUCACAGUGAGAGAAAAAAAAGUUGACUAGCUUAGGCAGCAGUAUAUACAACACUGAUCAUUUUUUUAAAAUCCUGGCAAUAUCCCAAGCUCUGGUACCUCUAGAUUGGACUACCUACUUAGAAGAUUAUUUACCCAAGUUUUGUUUUUAAUCUAAAAAGGAAUGGGCCUUUUAUUUAUAAAUAUAUAUGUUGGCUUUAGUUUCUGUAACCUGCCCUUUCAAAGAAAAUAAUGAGCGGAGAGGUAUUGACCAGCAGCCUCAAAUGUACCUAAAAGAAGUUCCCAAUGGCUUUGUGACAUCACUGCCACCUCACAGGCAUGACAAAGCCAGCGCCAGGCACAUUCCUCCUUUCCAGGAAGGUGUGGUUAAGUGUAAGUGGUGAAAGAAGGGAAACCAUUGCUUAAUGUCGCAAAGGAGACAGACUGUCCUAUGUUGUGCAGAAAGCUCCCACACCAGGUGAAAUGCACAUCUGAACAGAGACAGGCAUGGGAAGGAGGCCCAAAAGCGACAUGGCAAACCACCGGGCAGGGGACUCGCUCUUUGUUGCUUCCCAAACACUUAGACGCCAGCAGCAUGGGUUGGUGUGCUGGGCUGGUUAAGGCCGAUGGUGGAGCAGAGCCAACCUGCAAAAUCCACUUCCUCAGCAUCAGAUCUCUUGAUAAAAGCAUGAAC